GUGCCAGCCGCCGCGGUAAUACGAAGGGUGCGAGCGUUAAUCGGAUUUACUGGGCGUAAAGCGUGCGUAGGCGGCUUUUUAAGUCGGAUGUGAAAUCCCUGAGCUUAACUUAGGAAUUGCAUUCGAUACUGGGAAGCUAGAGUAUGGGAGAGGAUGGUAGAAUUCCAGGUGUAGCGGUGAAAUGCGUAGAGAUCUGGAGGAAUACCGAUGGCGAAGGCAGCCAUCUGGCCUAAUACUGACGCUGAGGUACGAAAGCAUGGGGAGCAAACAGGAUUAGAUACCCCUCGUAGUCC
Molecule: ribosomal RNA, 293 nt
Filed under: uncultured prokaryote
Description: partial 16S ribosomal RNA
Rfam family: Bacterial small subunit ribosomal RNA
Source: RNAcentral